Molecule: ribosomal RNA, 320 nt
Filed under: uncultured soil bacterium
Lineage: Bacteria
Description: bacterial SSU rRNA
Rfam family: Bacterial small subunit ribosomal RNA
Source: RNAcentral
AGAGUGAACGCUGGCGGCAGGCCUAAUACAUGCAAGUCGAACGGCAGCACAGCAGAGCUUGCUCUGUGGGUGGCGAGUGGCGGACGGGUGAGGAAUACAUGGGAAUCUGCCCAGUCGUGGGGGAUAACGUAGGGAAACUUACGCUAAUACCGCAUGCGCCCUUCGGGGGAAAGCCGGGGACCUUCGGGCCUGGCGCGAUUGGAUGAGCCCAUGUCGGAUUAGCUAGUUGGCGGGGUAACGGCCCACCAAGGCGACGAUCCGUAGCCUGGUCUGAGAGGAUGAUCAGCCACACUGGAACUGAGACACGGUCCAGACUCCUA